UCUACGGGAGGCAGCAGUGAGGAAUAUUGGUCAAUGGACGAGAGUCUGAACCAGCCAAGUAGCGUGAAGGAUGACUGCCCUAUGGGUUGUAAACUUCUUUUAUAUGGGAAUAAACUGUUCCACGUGUGGGAUUUUGUAUGUACCAUAUGAAUAAGGAUCGGCUAACUCCGUGCCAGCAGCCGCGGUAAUACGGGGGAUACGAGCGUUAUCCGGAUUUAUUGGGUUUAAAGGGAGCGUAGGUGAAUUUGUAAGUCAGUUGUGAAAGUUUUCGGCUCAACCGUAAAAUUGCAGUUGAAACUGGCAGUCUUGAGUACAGUAGAGGUGGGUGGAAUUAGUGGUGUAGCGGUGAAAUGCUUAGAUAUCACGAAGAACUCCGAUUGCGAAGGCAAGUGUCCGGGGUGCAACUGACGCUGAGGCUCGAAAGUGCGGGUAUCAAACAGGAUUAGAUACCCCAGUAGUC
This 460-nucleotide ribosomal RNA is filed under the name uncultured bacterium. RNAcentral's name for it is "partial 16S ribosomal RNA". It matches the Rfam family "Bacterial small subunit ribosomal RNA", at positions 338 to 795 of the family's 1533-position model. The record is from RNAcentral.